GAGAAGAGAUAUUUGAGAGAAAUUUAAGGAGAAGAUGUUUGCAGGCCUAUGCUCGGAAAUCGAAAAGGACAAGAAAAGACUCGGCGAUUCCGAUCGAGAGCAGGAGAUGAUGGCGAGGGCUCCGAUGGUGGAGGACGUUUACGAGACUGAAGAGAAAAAGCAAGCUGCUGCUGAUGUUCUCUAUCACUAGUUCACUACUCGCAAUUUGUCAUGGUAUGCAUUGGGGAAGGAGUUCGACCAACUGAUCUCAGGUUGCACCUAAUGAAGGAACAUUCGGGAAUGCCUUCAUCUUUGAAGAAAGAGCCUUUUCCUGCAUCUUCUUCUCCCGAUUCCGUAGGUGCAUCAUCCUCGGGGAUGGCGAAAGGCGAGAAAAACAAACUAAGCUCAUAGGCUUUUCGCAUUGAAUCAGAUACAGUAGCAUCAUUUAUUCGCGGUAAGAACUAUCAAAAAACACCAGAGACGACAAAGUUCUCUAUUCCAGCGAGCAUCAUUAUGUAAAUAACAGAAACCGAGUCAAAGUAAUGCACCAGGUUUGAUGCAAUAUCUGGAUCGGUGAGUCUUUUAGAUUUUUUGUUUCUUUUAAUCUUUUGAUAUUGUACUUCAAAUCGAUGUGUGACUAAUCUACUUCUCUUCGUUCGGUCAAUGUAAAACACUUACAUGAGUGAUUUCUAUACCAUCAUAUAGCCGACAAAUUUCACUUUUACAUGUAUAUUAUUUCCUUGUUACCCCUUAAAAGCCAGUUUGUGUUUCAAUCCUUAGAGAUGCCUCAUAUUUGCAUAUAUACCCCUGAAUAUUGCGCACAUACUCUUAGAAAUAGCUCAUAUUUGUUAUUUGCCCUUCUUAAGCCUCUUAUGCUGAAAAGGUUGCACUAGUGGAGGAACAUAUAUGCUAAAAUGAAAUAUUUUUUUGCAGAGCAAUGCUGGUGGUACACCCCUUUGGGGGUGUAGGAUAUGUGACUAGCGGACAACACCCCCUCCCUUGGAUGGGUGGGGUGUAUACAAGAAGCAUUUUCCAUUUUUAGGGAUACAAGUGCCACAUGCAGGUUUUGAGGUGUAUGCACACUAGUUAUGUUGGAGAUUAUAAGCAAAAACUAUUGCUCAUGAAGG
Molecule: long non-coding RNA, 1106 nt
Organism: Ananas comosus (pineapple)
Lineage: Eukaryota; Viridiplantae; Streptophyta; Magnoliopsida; Poales; Bromeliaceae
Exons: 3
Source: RefSeq, a predicted model, not a curated record